Cyprinus carpio (common carp) is the source of this 1077-nucleotide long non-coding RNA. The record is from Ensembl. Lineage: Eukaryota; Metazoa; Chordata; Actinopteri; Cypriniformes; Cyprinidae.
GGUGGAGUAUCCCUUUAAGCGGCCAUAUUGAGUGUUGCAUUUUUCCCCAUUCAAAACUAUACGAGUGACACGUCUUGGGUAUUCUAUAGUCUUUGAUAAUAGACAAACUUUGUUUCACCAACAAUGGAUCGUACUGUGGUGGUUAAUCAGUGAGUUACGUCGUUGAACAGGAAACACACCCCAGACCGAUUAUCGGUCAACCCCCUAAUGAUGACUCUUACAUUACAUUUGUGAAAUCAAACUGCAUUUAACAACACAUUAAACAUUCAUGGUAUACAUCUCAUAAACAAGAGCUGUACAAGCACUUUUUAAAGAGAUACUUCACCCAAAAAUGGAAACUCUGUCAUCAUUUACUCACCCUCAUGUUGUUUCGAAUCAGUAUAAGAUAUUUUGAGAAAUGUGUGCUUUUUUGUUUUUUUGCACACAGUAUUAGUCAUUGUUAACCAAAACUGUUUGUAACAGUAUUAGCCAAAAUCAUUUUUCAAAAAGUAUUUUUUUGUAUUCUGAAGAACAAAGUCAGUCAUACAGGUUGAGAAUGACAUGCGACUGAGUAAAUAAUGACAUAAUUUUUAGAUUUGGGUAAACUAUCUCUUUAAAAUAGCCAUUUCAAAAACAUAAUACUCAAACUCUAGUGGAUUGUUUCGAUGUUUUAUUCUGUAUACAAAUGAAAUAGGACAAAUAAAUACACUUUUUAAAUGAGGAAAACAAAUAAGCUCAAACAAAUUUCAAAGUCUAGGCAAAAACAUGGUGCAUCUAUAUGAUUAGUUUGAUUUUAAAAUGUCCAACCAAUGAUAAAAAAAAUUUAAAUAUUGAUUCCUGUCUAUUGUAACAAAACAUUCUUUAGCCAGAUGAUAAAUGAAGCUUUUUUAUUUACUUUAGGCAAGGUCUGGUGAGCAAUGUGUUAAGAUUUGUGGCAAAAAUGCUGACAGACAGUCCUAUCGACAAGGAAUGUGUUUUUAUCAUAUAGGUGUACCUCACCAUAGCAGUCUUUAUACCUCCUCAGAGAAACUCAGGUGUGAUUGGGGGCAGGUUUUUAAAGAGAGGUCAAGUGAAGAAGCCAGGACAGGAGUUGUUUAA